UACAGAGGGUGCGAGCGUUAAUCGGAAUUACUGGGCGUAAAGCGUGCGUAGACGGCUAUCUAAGUCGGGUGUGAAAGCCCCGGGCUCAACCUGGGAAUUGCAUUCGAGACUGAAUAGCUAGGGUACGGUAGAGGGAAGUGGAAUUUCCGGUGUAGCGGUGAAAUGCGUAGAUAUCGGAAGGAACAUCAGUGGCGAAAGCGACUUCCUGGACCAGUACCGACGUUCAGGCACGAAAGCCGUGGGGAGCAAACAGG
This 254-nucleotide ribosomal RNA is filed under the name uncultured bacterium. RNAcentral's name for it is "partial 16S ribosomal RNA". It matches the Rfam family "Bacterial small subunit ribosomal RNA", at positions 524 to 776 of the family's 1533-position model. The record is from RNAcentral.